RNAcentral lists this ribosomal RNA (483 nucleotides) under uncultured bacterium. Its description in RNAcentral is "partial 16S ribosomal RNA". It matches the Rfam family "Bacterial small subunit ribosomal RNA", at positions 28 to 507 of the family's 1533-position model. The record is from RNAcentral.
GACGAACGCUGGCGGCGUGCUUAACACAUGCAAGUCGAACGCUGAAGCUCAGCUUUUGUUGGGUGGAUGAGUGGCGAACGGGUGAGUAACACGUGAGUAACCUGCCCCCUUCUUUGGGAUAACGCCCGGAAACGGGUGCUAAUACUGGAUAUUCACUGGUCUUCGCAUGGGGGUUGGUGGAAAGGGUUUUUCUGGUGGGGGAUGGGCUCGCGGCCUAUCAGCUUGUUGGUGGGGUGAUGGCCUACCAAGGCUUUGACGGGUAGCCGGCCUGAGAGGGUGACCGGUCACAUUGGGACUGAGAUACGGCCCAGACUCCUACGGGAGGCAGCAGUGGGGAAUAUUGCACAAUGGGCGCAAGCCUGAUGCAGCGACGCCGCGUGAGGGAUGGAGGCCUCCGGGUUGUGAACCUCUUUCGCUCAUGGUCAAGCCGCAACAAUGGUUGUGGUGGGGGUAGUGGGUAAAGAAGCGCCGGCUAACUACGUG